GCCAUGAGAACUAUUUGUAACUGGUUGAAAAUGUCUAAUGAAACUCCAGUAAUUUCAAAUCGUGUGUGAUCGUUUGCGGUAUUUUUCAUGGAACACUCCGUUUUCCAUCAUCAAGUUAAAGUUGAGAAUGCUUGUUAAUGAUUCUAGAACACAUCACGAGUGUUAAAAUAAGUCAGAUUCACAAAAAAUAAUUGGGAAAGUUUUGUUUUGAUUUUAAGCGGAAAUAGCACGUGUAAAUCUAAAAUAAAUAUGGUGCGAUUGUGCUGAAAAUCCGUACUUAAAAGAUAUCACUAGAAUACGACUUUGAAAGAAAACAAGUCCUUCCUUUAGUAAAAUACUGUUAAAUCAUCACAUUAAUGUUUGAAGGAUCUUGGCUUAAACAAAACAUAUGCGUCAGGAUGAAACACCAAAACAGAACGAAUAACCAAUUACGUUUUGAGGUUUAUACAUCGUUAUGCAAAAGCUGGUUCCCGGUUGACUUAUACACUUUUUCAUUCCAUUAAAUGCAAGCGGUUUCCAGUUUAUGGUAUGCAAUGCUAUGAAAAGAAACGAGAAAUUUGAAAUGAAGCAUUUAAUUUUGAUAUCAUUAAUCAGUUAAUAUUGGAAUUUUGAAUCAAAAUUACAUAUUAAUAUGGAUUAGGUAAAGUAUUAGUUAUAACAAGCAUUCUUUGAGUAUUGCCUGGCAAUACAUAGUCCCCUACCGGUUAAAAAUUCAUUGUACUGGAACAAAAUGCUAACUUGAUCUAUAACUUGUCAUGGUGUAAACUAUAUAACAAAAUCAAUCAAUAUCUUCAAGCAUGACGAAAAAAAAUUUGGAACAUUGAUUAUUUGAGUGAAUUUUCUAAGUCCAAGGACCAUAACUCUGCACAAAUUCAUCAGACCGGAACAAAAUUCAAAGUUGGUCUGUAACUUGUCAUGAUGAAACUAUAUACCAAUCAUCAAAUCAAUAUCUUCAAGCAUGACAAAAAAAAGUGCUGAAAACUGAUUAUUCUAGAACGGUAAAAGUGACGCCACACAAAUUCAAACUUGAUCUGUGUUUUGUGGUAAUAAGCCUUGUGUAUAACUUUCAUAACAUUUGGUUGAAGCAAACUAAAGAAAGAGAAUGGAAACAAAAAAAUCAGCAAUUUUUCCAUUUGUAAAGGGGCAUAACUCUAGAACGGUAAAAGUGACACAACCAAAAUUCAAACUUGAUCUUUGUUUUGUGGUAAUUAGCAUUGUGUAUAAGUUUCAUAACAUUUGGUUGAGGCAAACUAAAGUAAGAGAACGGAAACGAAAAAUUCAGCAAUUUUUCCAUUUGUAAAGGGGCAUAACUCUAGAACGGUAAAAGUGACGCCACCAAAAUUCAAACAUGAUCUGUGUUUUGUGGUAAUAAGCAUUGUGUAUAAGGUUUAAUAAUAUUUGGUAGAGGCAAACUAGAAUUAGAGAACGGAAACGAAAAAUUCAGCAACUUUUCCAUUUGUAAAGGGGCAUAACUCUAGAAUGUUAAAAGUGACGCCACUUGUUGGAACAAAAAUGGACACAAUAUUCGCGCUUGAUACAGGUCUGAAUUUGGAUUGUAAUUAAAUAUUUGACACAUAAUAAGUUUCUGACACAGAAUAACUGUAGAAUUGGUUAUAUGAUUUGAAUUUAUAUUCAAUUUUUUGCUUUUGUGCAAUACACUUUGCUGUUGUGAAUUGACCCCCCCUCCCCCCACAAAAAAAUAAAAAUAGUUUACCCCCCUUUUUUUUGCUUUUGUGCAAUACACUAUGCUGUUGCGUAUUGCCCCCCCCCCCCCC
This is a long non-coding RNA of Mytilus californianus (California mussel), 1775 nucleotides long. RefSeq lists it as uncharacterized. The record is from RefSeq and is a predicted model, not a curated record. The transcript has 2 exons. Lineage: Eukaryota; Metazoa; Mollusca; Bivalvia; Mytilida; Mytilidae.